GACGAACGCUGGCGGCGUGCUUAACACAUGCAAGUCGAACGGUGAAGCUCCAGCUUGCUGGAGUGGAUCAGUCGCGAACGGGUGAGUAACACGUGAGCAACCUGCCCCUGACUCUGGAAUAAGCGCUGGAAACGGCGUCUAAUACUGGAUACGAGAAGGGUCCGCAUGGGCACUUUCUGGAAAGUUUUUCGGUUGGGGAUGGGCUCGCGGCCUAUCAGCUUGUUGGUGAGGUAAUGGCUCACCAAGGCGACGACGGGUAGCCGGCCUGAGAGGGCGACCGGCCACACUGGGACUGAGACACGGCCCAGACUCCUACGGGAGGCAGCAGUGGGGAAUAUUGCACAAUGGGCGAAAGCCUGAUGCAGCGACGCCGCGUGAGGGAUGACGGCCUUCGGGUUGUAAACCUCUUUCAGCAGGGAAGAAGCGAAAGUGACGGUACCUGCAGAAGAAGCACCGGCUAACUACGUG
RNAcentral lists this ribosomal RNA (468 nucleotides) under uncultured bacterium. RNAcentral describes it as "partial 16S ribosomal RNA". It matches the Rfam family "Bacterial small subunit ribosomal RNA", at positions 28 to 507 of the family's 1533-position model. The record is from RNAcentral.